CCAGACUCCUACGGGAGGCAGCAGUGGGGAAUAUUGCACAAUGGGGGAAACCCUGAUGCAGCGACGCCGCGUGAGUGAAGAAGUAUUUCGGUAUGUAAAGCUCUAUCAGCAGGGAAGAAAAUGACGGUACCUGACUAAGAAGCCCCGGCUAACUACGUGCCAGCAGCCGCGGUAAUACGUAGGGGGCAAGCGUUAUCCGGAUUUACUGGGUGUAAAGGGAGCGUAGGUGGCAUGGUAAGCCAGAAGUGAAAACCCGGGGCUCAACCCCGGGACUGCAUUUGAAACUGUCAGGCUGGAGUACAGGAGAGGUAAGUGGAAUUCCUAGUGUAGCGGUGAAAUGCGUAGAUAUUAGGAGGAACACCAGUGGCGAAGGCGGCUUACUGGACUGUAACUGACGUUGAGGCUCGAAAGCGUGGGGAGCAAACAGGAUUAGAUACCCCUGUAACC
Molecule: ribosomal RNA, 447 nt
Filed under: uncultured bacterium
Lineage: Bacteria
Description: bacterial SSU rRNA
Rfam family: Bacterial small subunit ribosomal RNA
Source: RNAcentral